This 637-nucleotide ribosomal RNA is filed under the name Disperis circumflexa subsp. circumflexa. RNAcentral describes it as "eukaryotic LSU rRNA". The stretch from base 193 to 349 matches the Rfam family "5.8S ribosomal RNA". The record is from RNAcentral. Lineage: Eukaryota; Viridiplantae; Streptophyta; Magnoliopsida; Asparagales; Orchidaceae.
AACAUGUAAGCUAUUUUGCAGCAUUUUUGCAAUUGAACACCUGUUCAUCCAUUGCAUUUAAUGUCAUGGUUGGAUAGGAGAUCAAAUCGGCAUAGAUUUGUGCCAAGAAAAAUUAUUAUUUUGAGCAUUAAUGUUCUCUCUCAUGGGAUUUGGUGGCCUUUUGGAGAUGUUUUGCUUCAUUAUAUAUUGUACGACUCUUGACAAUGGAUAUCUUGGCUCUUGCAUCGAUGAAGAGCGUAGCGAAAUGCGAUACAUGGUGCGAAUUGCAGAAUCCCGUGAACCAUCGAGUUUUUGAAUGCAAGUUGCGCCUGAGGCCAAACAGGCCAAAGGCACGUCUGCCUGGGAAUCAAGCAGUUCAUCACUCUAUUUAAAUAAUCAUAAAAACAUCAAAAAUGAUUUUUUUAUAGAAGUGGAUAGUGGCUCGUCGCGUUUGGUGCGCAGCGUGAUCAAGAUUGUGUUGAUUUCACUUUACAGUGAUCGAUAAUUGGGUGGUGAUCCAUUGCACGUCCUUCAUAAUCGUAUGAUUGUUUAGUGUAAGUCUAUUAAAAAACUUGGCACUUAUUGUGUUGUUUGUGGCAUGUAGAAAAGUGACCCCAGGACAGGCGGGGUAACCCGCUGAGUUUAAGCAUAUAAAUAA